GGGACACGUGGUAUCCUGUCUGAAUAUGGGGGGACCAUCCUCCAAGGCUAAAUACUCCUGACUGACCGAUAGUGAACCAGUACCGUGAGGGAAAGGCGAAAAGAACCCCGGCGAGGGGAGUGAAAAAGAACCUGAAACCGUGUACGUACAAGCAGUGGGAGCCUCUUUUAUGGGGUGACUGCGUACCUUUUGUAUAAUGGGUCAGCGACUUAUAUUCUGUAGCAAGGUUAACCGAAUAGGGGAGCCGAAGGGAAACCGAGUCUUAACUGGGCGUUAAGUUGCAGGGUAUAGACCCGAAACCCGGUGAUCUAGCCAUGGGCAGGUUGAAGGUUGGGUAACACUAACUGGAGGACCGAACCGACUAAUGUUGAAAAAUUAGCGGAUGACUUGUGGCUGGGGGUGAAAGGCCAAUCAAACCGGGAGAUAGCUGGUUCUCCCCGAAAGCUAUUUAGGUAGCGCCUCGUGAAUUCAUCUCCGGGGGUAGAGCACUGUUUCGGCAAGGGGGUCAUCCCGACUUACCAACCCGAUGCAAACUG
RNAcentral lists this ribosomal RNA (536 nucleotides) under Escherichia coli. Its description in RNAcentral is "partial 23S ribosomal RNA". It matches the Rfam family "Bacterial large subunit ribosomal RNA", at positions 419 to 956 of the family's 2925-position model. The record is from RNAcentral. Lineage: Bacteria; Pseudomonadati; Pseudomonadota; Gammaproteobacteria; Enterobacterales; Enterobacteriaceae.